This is a long non-coding RNA of Mus musculus (house mouse), 806 nucleotides long. RefSeq annotates it as predicted gene, 53707. NCBI's taxonomy places the organism in Eukaryota, Metazoa, Chordata, Mammalia, Rodentia, Muridae. The transcript has 3 exons. The record is from RefSeq and is a predicted model, not a curated record.
CUUACAAAGCAAAGGUUAGUCAUUUUGUCCGUGGGUAUUAGAGUUUUCCAGUGACCGCAAGAAUGACGUGACAUGACGUCUCCUGGUCCUUAGAAGUUUGCUGAGUAAGCAGACGCGGAAGAAGCCAGGAGGAGCUGAAGGCAGCAGGAGGGAAGGCCACACUCCCUACAGGUGUGGCCGAAUGCUGAACAGGGAUACAAGUUGGAAGUCCACCCAAAGCCUAUGAGAAGUCUCCUUAAGGAAAGGUGCGAUUGUUCUCUCUCCUUCUUCCUUCUGGUCAAAAUGCCAAAGCAACUCCAACAGCCAUCUUGGUCAAAGUGGGAACCAUGGGGUCAGAAGUCCCGCCACUCUCAUUGUGGAGCGACAGAAAAGCUGCGUUCUCUGGCCCUCGAGGAAGACUCUAAUUGCUCCAGAAUUCUUGAAGAAUGUUACUAUUUCACAGAUGAAGAAACCAAACCUAGGCAACGGCAAGGCUGUUGUUUCCCCAAGGUGCCCAGGCUGAGAGGCGAAGCCAGGAUCCCACCCCAGACUGAAUCUAGAGUCAGUAAUCCAAGCCACAGGACCGGACCGCACUCCCUCUUGGUUACAGAGGUCGGGUCAUUACCCUCAUCCAUCUAGCCACUCAUCCAAUAAGAACUGACCACACAGCUGGCCCCAGAAGCCUUAAACUCCAAAACAGCGCCUGUUCCCCAGCAUCCAGCCAUCCUCUCUCAGCUUCUUACACACCCCACUGACCAGCUCUACCACCAGACUCUGAGCAGCACACUAACUAGGCAGGCUUCCACUCCUGCAGGUCCCCCAGCCCC